RNAcentral lists this ribosomal RNA (588 nucleotides) under Kocuria sp. M147. RNAcentral's name for it is "bacterial SSU rRNA". It matches the Rfam family "Bacterial small subunit ribosomal RNA", at positions 81 to 681 of the family's 1533-position model. Lineage: Bacteria; Bacillati; Actinomycetota; Actinomycetes; Micrococcales; Micrococcaceae. The record is from RNAcentral.
UGCUGGGCGGAUUAGUGGCGAACGGGUGAGUAAUACGUGAGUAACCUGCCCUUGACUCUGGGAUAAGCCUGGGAAACUGGGUCUAAUACUGGAUACUACCUCCUGCCGCAUGGUGGGUGGUGGAAAGGGUUUUACUGGUUUUGGAUGGGCUCACGGCCUAUCAGCUUGUUGGUGGGGUAAUGGCUCACCAAGGCGACGACGGGUAGCCGGCCUGAGAGGGUGACCGGCCACACUGGGACUGAGACACGGCCCAGACUCCUACGGGAGGCAGCAGUGGGGAAUAUUGCACAAUGGGCGGAAGCCUGAUGCAGCGACGCCGCGUGAGGGAUGACGGCCUUCGGGUUGUAAACCUCUUUCAGUAGGGAAGAAGCGAGAGUGACGGUACCUGCAGAAGAAGCGCCGGCUAACUACGUGCCAGCAGCCGCGGUAAUACGUAGGGCGCAAGCGUUGUCCGGAAUUAUUGGGCGUAAAGAGCUCGUAGGCGGUUUGUCGCGUCUGCUGUGAAAGCCCGGGGCUCAACCCCGGGUCUGCAGUGGGUACGGGCAGACUAGAGUGCAGUAGGGGAGACUGGAAUUCCUGGUGUAGCGG